UACGUAGGGUGCGAGCGUUAAUCGGAAUUACUGGGCGUAAAGCGUGCGCAGGCGGUUCGUUAAGUCCGAUGUGAAAGCCCCGGGCUCAACCUGGGAACUGCAUUUGAAACUGGCGGGCUUGAGUAUGGCAGAGGGGGGUGGAAUUCCGCGUGUAGCAGUGAAAUGCGUAGAGAUGCGGAGGAACACCGAUGGCGAAGGCAGCCCCCUGGGCCAAUACUGACGCUCAGGCACGAAAGCGUGGGGAGCAAACAGG
Molecule: ribosomal RNA, 253 nt
Filed under: uncultured bacterium
Lineage: Bacteria
Description: partial 16S ribosomal RNA
Rfam family: Bacterial small subunit ribosomal RNA
Source: RNAcentral